AGUUUUUUGUUUGUUUGUUUGUUUUUUUGUCUUUUUGCCCUUUCUAGGGCCGCACCUGUGGCACAUGGAGGUUCCCAGGCUAGAGGUCUAGCCAGAGCUGCAGCCACCGGCCUACACCAGAGCCACAGCAAUGCAGGAUCUGCGACCUACACCACAGCUCACCACAACGCCGGAUCCUUAACCCACUGAGCGAGGCCAGGGAUCGAACCCGAAACCUCAUGGUUCCUCGUCGGAUUCGUUAACCACUGAACCAUGACAGGAACUCCAGAGUCCAUAUUUUGAGAAAACUUCCCAGGAGAUUCUGGAGAGAGUUAGCCAAGCAUCUCACAGCGGAUCCUGCCUUGGUGCCUGGAAACCACUGCUGUCCACCAUUCAUGUAUGUGGAUUUCAGAACCUUUCCAGAGAGCGAGUUUCAGGGAGAGGAAGCCGUGUGUUCACAAAGAGCCCAUUUUCCUUGCUCCCGCCAUCUGCUCAGUGUGUUAAGUGAGAUAAUGUUUCUCUACCCCUUGGAACGCUUUGUGGUUCCACCGCCUCACUGUGGUUCCCAUCACGUCAGCCUCGAAGGUGGAGUGGCCUGUCAGCACCAUGAACUUCUGCAUGGAGCCACGGAAUCAACUUUAUCUCCUCAGCUUCCGACUCUGCCGUGUGAAUCCAGGCUAGGAGGGUCCCCAGGGCUUAUGGUUAAGAGGUCACAUGGCCAUCUCUUGACGCGGCCAGGAGAUGUUUCCUCUUUAGCAACAGAAGGACACAAAGCCUCCUAGAAUUGCUACUUAAUAUCCAGGAGAUGACAGUAAGCAGACAGGAUGAAUCUAGAGAUUUUUCUUACCUAUGGGAAGCUUGGCGAGGCAUGUGAAAAUCCUGUAAACUAAGUUUAAAAACAAGGGUUUGUUUUGUUCAUUCAUUCCCUUGACAAACAUUUAUUGAGCAUCGCUGACCUUACCCUCUGCUCUCUUGUUUCUUCCAUUCGAGCCACACUGUCCUGUUAUUGUUCUUAGAACAAACCAGGCACCCUCCUGCCUUAAAGGAUGGGCUCUACCUGAUCCUAGGCGGGGAGCACUCUUACCCAGGUCUGCGAGGCUGCCCUCCUUUCCUCCUCCAAGCCUUGCUCACAUGCUGCCUUCUCAAUGAGACUUAACCUGACUACCCUCUUUAACUUUUUUGUUGUUGCUGUCUUUUGAGGGCAGCGCCUGUGGCAUAAGGAAGUUCUCAGGUUAGGGGUUGAAUUGGAGCUGUAGCUGCCAGCUGACACCACAGCCACAGCAACGUUCGAUCCAAGCUGCAUCUGCAGCCUACACUGCAGCUCACAGGAGGGCAGGAUCCUUAACUCACUCAGCAGGGCCAGGGGUUGAACCUGCAUCCUCAUGGAUACCAGUCAGGUUCGUUAUGGCUGAGCCACAACAGGAACUGCUAUUUCGCUUUUUAACACAAGCAGCUUCCCUUCCUGAUCUUGCCCUACCUUUUCAUUUUUCCCUGGAACUUUUCAACUUUUAACAUACCAUGUACUUUAAUUUAAAAAAAAUUUUUAAAUGGAUGUAUAAUUGAUUUACAAUAUUGUGUUAGGUUCUGGUGUGCUGCAAACUCCAAUUUGACCCCUAGCUUGGGAACCUCCAUAUGCCGUGGGAGCGGCCCAAGAAAAGGCAAAAAGACAAAAAGACCAAAAAAAAAUUUGCUAAGAGAGUACAUCUUAAAAGUUCUCAACACAUUCACAAAAUUGUAACUAUGUGUGGUGAUAGAUGUUAAUAAAGUUAUUAUGGUGAUCAUUUCACAAUAUAUAUGUAUAUCAUAUCAUUGCGUUGUACACCUGGACUAAUAUGUUAUGUGUCAGCUAUAUCUCAAUAAGAAGAAGAAAGACUAAGAAAAAUCCACUUGUGAACUCACUUCUGGGAACUCAGUCUUGGAACUGGACGCAGGAGGCAAAACAAGAACCCUUCUUGAGCCUGUGUUCCCAGCUUCAGAGAUGCUCUUUUGAUCAAGCCAUAGAUGAGAUGGUACCUGCGAACUAGGCUUCACACUUGCAGGAAGAAGAUGUGGGAUCCUCCCUCAAGAGGACCAUGGCUCCAUUAAUAAAUUUUCUGAGGACUUAGCGUUCUUUUUGCUUUGCUUCUAUUUUAUUUUGUUUUUGCUCAGGUAACCAGGUUAUGGAGAGGAAAGGCAUAACUUAAUUUGAGGUUCUGAUGGUUGUGAUCAUUUACAAAGGAGGCGGUACUUACCUCAUGAUUUCCCUCUGUAUCUGCCAGGAAAGGCUAAGUUAUGCUGCUGUAACAAACAAGCCCACCAUCUCGAGGGCUUAAAACAAUUUUUCAUAUCACAUAACAUAUCUGUUUGUUGGCUUGGGCAGAAGGGAUUAGCUCAUCAAACCUAGGAUCUUCUGCUGAUGGAGCAGCCCCUGUCUCUAACACUGUGGGUCCACAGACCAGAGGAAAAAGAGAUCUGGAGCAUUUUGCAUUGGCAAUUAAUUGGUCAUAACUCAUUGCCCCAAACUAGUUACAUGACCCCACCCAACCCCAAGAGGAAUAAUAGUUACACUCUUACCAUAUUCCUGGAAAGGAAGAAAACAAGAAAUUUUGGCAAACAGCUUUAAUAGCUAUCAUGCCAAUCCUUGGGUGUAAAACCCUCUCUGAGAUGGGAGUGAUUUUUGCAAGGGUCAGAAAGAGCUUGGAAAUUGUUGUCCUUCUGGCCUUAAACGAGAAAGAUGGACCAAGUCUCUGCCAAGUCUUGGAGGGAAUAACUGGAGGAGGAUCCAUCGUGAAUCCACAUUCUGUUUAUACCCUUGUUUGUUUCUGAUGAAGACUUGUCUUAUGUUCUUGUCACCCUUUUCUUAAUAUACUACACUGAUUUUGGCCAAUUGCAUCUGUCAGGCUAGACUUAGUUUUGCCGUGGUUAUAAAUAGUUUCCAGAUCUCAAGUGCUCACUGUAACAAGUUUAUUUUUCACUCAUGGGACAUAUCCACUCUAGGCAUGGCUAAAUCUGCUCACCUUAGUCACUCAGAGACCCAGGAGCUCUGAGGCUGCAUCACACAUAUGCUUCCACAUCACCCUGCAGUUGGAGAGGAAGAUGGUGAUUCCCAAAACUGCUGUUCAAAUUUCUCCUUGGAAGGGACACACACCACUUAUACUCCAGAUUCAGUGGAGACACCAAGUCACGUGACCAUGUCUGAUUUCAAGAAGGAAGGAAAGUGCAGUCCUAUCAUUGCCUAGAAAGGGGGAAAGCCAGGAAAGUUGGGGAGCAAUCCCACUGACUAUGCCACCGACCAGACACAGAAAAAAGAUUAGAACCCCUCUGGGAUGGAUUUGCUACAUUAAACUCUAGGCAGGCCAGGAUUGGUGACUCAGACAUGGACUUGAGCAGAUGAGGAAGAACUUGACUUUCCCAAAGCAUUGUAAAGUUCAGAACUAUUUUCAUGCUCCUCAAUUUCUGUCUUUACAAAGCCGAGCAUGAAUUAUUAUCCUUAUCUUAAAGAAAAGAGAGGCCUAGAGAAAUGACAUAUUUUUCCAAAUUCCACACAACUUCAAGUGACAAAGGCAGAACAACCACCAGAGCUCUGAUUCAGAAUCAUCUCCCCUCUCUCUGUGCCAGCCAGCGGUGACAGUGACUCCUGAGCCCUCAUCUGUGUGCUAAAGGAAGGAGUGCUGUGGGAGAUUGGAGGGAGUCUAAGCAAUAAGACUGGCCAUUAGUUUGAUGCUUUAAGUAAAAAGAUGCCUAGUUCAUCAAAAACCAAAUUAGAAUUCAAUAUUUAAUAUAGAUUUUUAGACUAGCUAAGCAUGGUCAUUAUAAACAUUUGGAAAAUAUAAAAAAUAUUCAGAAGGAAAAAAAAUUACCCACCCAGAUAUAAAUACGUUUUUCAAAACCUUCUAGUUCAAACAAGGAGUUCCCACUGUGGCACGAUGGGAUUGGCGGUGUCUCCACAGCACCAGGACACAGGUUCGAUCCCUGGCCAGGCACAGUGGGUUAAAGGAUCUGGUGUCGCUGCAGCGGCAGUGUUGAUCUGAUCCCUGGCACAGAGCUUCACAUGGCACAGGGCAGCCCAAAAAGAAAUAAAACAAAAUGACUUUCUUGUUCAAAUAAAAAUUUUAGGCUUGUGAAAAUAUGAAAGAAAUCCAGGGGUACUGCCAUGCAGCUUAAGAACAAGUCAUCUUGGAGUUCCCGUCAUGGCUAAGUAGUUAAUGAACCCGACUAGUAUUCAUGAGGAUGUGGGCUCAAUCUCUCUUGCUCAGUAGGUUAAGGAUCUGGCGUUGCUGUGGCUGUGGUGUAGGCUGGUGGCUGUAGCUCCUAUUGGACCCCUAGCCUGGGAACCUCCAUAUGCACGGGUGUGGCCCUAGAAAGACAAAAAAAAAAAAAAAAAAAAAAAAAAAAA
Molecule: long non-coding RNA, 4354 nt
Filed under: Sus scrofa (pig)
Lineage: Eukaryota; Metazoa; Chordata; Mammalia; Artiodactyla; Suidae
Description: lncRNA (ENSSSCG00035035212.1)
Source: RNAcentral